This is a non-coding RNA of Macaca mulatta (Rhesus monkey), 882 nucleotides long. NCBI's taxonomy places the organism in Eukaryota, Metazoa, Chordata, Mammalia, Primates, Cercopithecidae. The record is from RefSeq and is a predicted model, not a curated record.
AGUGUUACCUGUGUAGGGUCAGUGUCGUCUGUGUAGGGUCAGUGUCACCUGUGUAGGGUCAGUGUCGUCUGUGUAGCGUCAGUGUCAUCUGUGUAGGGUCAGUGUCGUCUGUGUAGGGUCAGUGUUACCUGUGGAGGGUCAGUGUCAUCUGUGUAGGGUCAGUGUCGUCUGUGUAGGGUCAGUGUCGUCUGUGUAGGGUCAGUGUUACCUGUGUAGGGUCAGUGUCACCUGUGUAGGGUCAGUGUCGUCUGUGUAGGGUCAGUGUUACCUGUGUAGGGUCAGUGUCGUCUGUGUAGGGUCAGUGUCGUCUGUGUAGCAUCAGUGUCACCUGUGUAGCGUCAGUGUCACCUGUGUAGGGUCAGUGUCACCUGUGUAGGGUCAGUGUCACCUGUGUAGGGUCAGUGUUACCUGUGUAGGGUCAGUGUCGUCUGUGUAGGGUCAGUGUUACCUGUGUGGGGUCAGUGUUACCUGUGUAGGGUCAGUGUCGUCUGUGUAGCAUCAGUGUCACCUGUGUAGCGUCAGUGUCACCUGUGUAGGGUCAGUGUCACCUGUGUAGGGUCAGUGUUACCUGUGUAGGGUCAGCGUUGUCUGUGUAGGGUCAGUGUCGUCUGUGUAGGGUCAGUGUCGUCUGUGUAGGGUCAGUGUUACCUGUGUAGGGUCAGUGUUACCUGUGUAGGGUCAGUGUCGUCUGUGUAGGGUCAGUGUCGUCUGUGUAGCGUCAGUGUUACCUGUGUAGGGUCAGUGUUACCUGUGUAGGGUCAGUGUCGUCUGUGUAGCGUCAGUGUUACCUGUGUAGGGUCAGUGUUACCUGUGUAGGGUCAGUGUCGUCUGUGUAGGGUCAGUGUUACCUGUGUAGGGUCAGUGUCGUCUGUGUAGGGUCAG